UACGGAGGAUGCAAGCGUUAUCCGGAUUCAUUGGGUUUAAAGGGUGCGUAGGCGGGCUAUUAAGUCAGUGGUGAAAUCCUGCAGCUUAACUGCAGAACUGCCGUUGAUACUGAUAGUCUUGAGUUUGGUUAAGGUAGGCGGAAUGUGUAAUGUAGCGGUGAAAUGCUUAGAUAUUACACAGAACACCAAUUGCGUAGGCAGCUUACUGAGCCGACACUGACGCUGAGGCACGAAAGCGUGGGGAUCAAACAGGAUUAGAUACC
Molecule: ribosomal RNA, 263 nt
Filed under: uncultured bacterium
Lineage: Bacteria
Description: partial 16S ribosomal RNA
Rfam family: Bacterial small subunit ribosomal RNA
Source: RNAcentral